GGAGAGAAGGAGCCUUGCUGCUAGGAGCAGUGAGAGUCACCAGGAGGAGAGGCAGUAUUCUCUCCCACAAGGGAGGAAAAAUAGGCUAAAAAGGACUGGUGGAGAGAAGGAACAUACUUCCCCUGUGUCCCAAGGGGGCCACAUUACCCAAGCCUGUCUCACCAGGGCUAAAAGCAGCAGAGGCUGGGGAGACCGAGAAGGUGCCUUGCCACAGUAACAAUAGAAAAGUACAGAUGCAGUCUGGGAAGUAGCACAUCAAUUUUCUUCCCCACACACUCCACCGAUGUGCCUCAAACCCUGACCUGGAAAAACUGUGGAGUAGAAUGUCAGAUCUCGUAUAUGUUGAUGGAACCCUACUAGCAUGUAUUAGAACCUUGAAUGAAAAUACUGAAGUCCACUGUGGCAAAUUCUCAUAAUGUUUUCUGCAUUGCUUAAAGGCCCAUCUCCUGGCAUCAUGAAUCUCAGCUUUUAUUAGGAAAAAAGUUCCUAACCCUCCUGGCUGCAGAGAAAAGCCUGAAAAUGUGAAAUGCUCAACUGCGUGACUUGUAAAAACAAAUUUUUGGGGAGAUUAGGAGUUCAAUAUUUGAUUUUGAAUGCUUGGGGAUGACAAUCCUGAAAUUCUACUGACUCACUGGGACAAUGUAACUCAUUAGCUCCACACUGGGUACAAGGAUGGAUGAGAUUGACUAUCUGGGAGAGGGCAUUAGGGAGGUAGGACAGAGAGUGUCCUUUAGGGAAAGAGCUUGGGAGCAACAAAGCUCGGGGAGAAACUCUAGUUUGAAGUUUGUUACUGAGCCACCAGUAAAGCCAAGCCACAGGAAAGGAAUGAGUUUAGACACUAACUCAUAGUGUUUGAACUCUGGGGAAGACACUCAAUCCAUUGAGAGGAG
This is a long non-coding RNA of Mauremys reevesii (Reeves's turtle), 890 nucleotides long. RefSeq lists it as uncharacterized. The transcript is spliced from 2 exons. Lineage: Eukaryota; Metazoa; Chordata; Testudines; Geoemydidae. The record is from RefSeq and is a predicted model, not a curated record.